RNAcentral lists this ribosomal RNA (892 nucleotides) under Escherichia coli. Its description in RNAcentral is "partial 23S ribosomal RNA". It matches the Rfam family "Bacterial large subunit ribosomal RNA", at positions 294 to 1191 of the family's 2925-position model. Lineage: Bacteria; Pseudomonadati; Pseudomonadota; Gammaproteobacteria; Enterobacterales; Enterobacteriaceae. The record is from RNAcentral.
GGAGCAGCCCAGAGCCUGAAUCAGUGUGUGUGUUAGUGGAAGCGUCUGGAAAGGCGCGCGAUACAGGGUGACAGCCCCGUACACAAAAAUGCACAUACUGUGAGCUCGAUGAGUAGGGCGGGACACGUGGUAUCCUGUCUGAAUAUGGGGGGACCAUCCUCCAAGGCUAAAUACUCCUGACUGACCGAUAGUGAACCAGUACCGUGAGGGAAAGGCGAAAAGAACCCCGGCGAGGGGAGUGAAAAAGAACCUGAAACCGUGUACGUACAAGCAGUGGGAGCACAGAGCAAUCUGUGUGACUGCGUACCUUUUGUAUAAUGGGUCAGCGACUUAUAUUCUGUAGCAAGGUUAACCGAAUAGGGGAGCCGAAGGGAAACCGAGUCUUAACUGGGCGUUAAGUUGCAGGGUAUAGACCCGAAACCCGGUGAUCUAGCCAUGGGCAGGUUGAAGGUUGGGUAACACUAACUGGAGGACCGAACCGACUAAUGUUGAAAAAUUAGCGGAUGACUUGUGGCUGGGGGUGAAAGGCCAAUCAAACCGGGAGAUAGCUGGUUCUCCCCGAAAGCUAUUUAGGUAGCGCCUCGUGAAUUCAUCUCCGGGGGUAGAGCACUGUUUCGGCAAGGGGGUCAUCCCGACUUACCAACCCGAUGCAAACUGCGAAUACCGGAGAAUGUUAUCACGGGAGACACACGGCGGGUGCUAACGUCCGUCGUGAAGAGGGAAACAACCCAGACCGCCAGCUAAGGUCCCAAAGUCAUGGUUAAGUGGGAAACGAUGUGGGAAGGCCCAGACAGCCAGGAUGUUGGCUUAGAAGCAGCCAUCAUUUAAAGAAAGCGUAAUAGCUCACUGGUCGAGUCGGCCUGCGCGGAAGAUGUAACGGGGCUAAACCAUG